GCUGGCAAUCACUAAAUAUUUGUUGCAUCUUUGCUAUAGAUGGAUGGGUGAAUGCUGAUUAAUUGUAUGAACUUAAAGAAAUCAUUUAAUAUCUUUGCCUCACUUUACCUCCUUCCCUGAUGUAAAUGGAAGGUAAUACACUACUUGUCUCUUUUGGAACACAAGGCAGUUAAGAUAAAUGGGAAGGCCAACGGCUUUACCGCUUAUUGUGAGGAAAACAUUGGAGUGUAUGGGCAAGGAGCCAUUUGAAAAUGGCAAUGACAGGCUAAUGGAGAAAGAAAGUAAUUUGUUUUAUUACCCGUGAACCUCCUGGGGACUGAGAAAGGUAGGGGGAAAUGAAAUGUACCCAUUUAUAUAAUAUUAAAAUUCAUAAAUCCAGCUUACAUUAAUUCAAAGUAGAGUAACACUUUGAUUAUCUGGCAUCAAUAGGUAUUUUGCUAAGUGUUUUGUUUUUUUAUAUAUAGUUAGUGCUCCCAUUGUAAGAAGAUUUUUUUCAAUUUGGCCAUUGUAAUGGAAAUAGUUUUCAAAUGAAUUUCAGCGCCACUUCCUCUGGCAGCACACUGAGCAGAGCCUUUUGUCACUAACUCAAGGACAUCAUUAUAGGCUUAUUAUAUUUGGGUAUAAAAUGGUGAUAAACUCUGAAAUCACAGAUGUGUAGAACUGUUAGGUUUUCUGAGCUCUCAUGUGUAUUGCAUAGGUUUUUCUCUCUUCUCUCGUUUAUUUAAUCAACAAGUAGGGCACCUGGCACCUGCAGGCCGUCUUCUGAGGACUAUACCCAAGACGAAUGUGGUCCCUGCCCUCUUGGAGCCCACAGUGUGCUGGGGAAGACUACAGUGAUCAGGCUUUGGAGCCUCACAACAACCCUCUGCAUCAGCCGCUGUUAUUAUCUCCACUGUCCAGACCAGGAACCUGAAGCCAGAGGUUUCUGUCGUUCACUGCAGGUCACGAAGAGAAUACUUAUCAGUCACCUGCUGGGUUUCCAUCACAAAGCUGGGUGCUACUGUGCAUGGGGACGGACAUGAAGAAAAUUCAGGAUGGCCUUUCAUCACUCAGCCUGUGGGUGACUCCACAUAACCAAUCAACAGAUGUUUGAAGAGUAGAAACAAGGACUUGAGAUUUGUGAGUAUGAUUUAAAGUCCCAGAGGUACCCUCAGCGUGAUUACUAUAGAAAACUGGACUUUGACUGAACUUUUCUGGCUUGAGUAUCUCCAUUCCUGCAACAUUCAAAGACCUCCCCCUUCCCACCCCAUUUUCAUCCUCAGUCUCUACCCUAGACUUUCUCAUUAAAUAAGGUAGUAAAUUUCUUUCAUUUCUUUUCUCUUCCCCUAUUUAUUUGUUUAUUGCCCUAAUCUCUCUUGAGCUCUUUUUGGUUUUGUUUUGUUUUUACUUUUUUAGAAAGAACCUAGAACAUUAUCUUCAAGAAAUUAUUUCUGUGUCCCUUCUUUUUCCUAACAAACUCCUACACAUCCUUCAGGAUCCACCCAAACAUCACCUUCCCUGUGACCUCUUCCAUGUGUCCCUCAACAGAAUUAGAAGUUACCUCCUCUGGGUUCUUAUGGCAACCUGUACACUCCUCCAAUAAAACACUUAACCGUGUUAUAUAAAGUUUUUGCAUACUUAUCUGUUCAGGUCCCUCUGUUUAAACACUUGUCCAUCUUUGAACCCCUAGUGCCUGGAUCAAGGGCUGAUGCAUUGUUUGUGUUCAAUGAAUGAGGGAA
This is a long non-coding RNA of Miniopterus natalensis, 1718 nucleotides long. RefSeq lists it as uncharacterized. The record is from RefSeq and is a predicted model, not a curated record. NCBI's taxonomy places the organism in Eukaryota, Metazoa, Chordata, Mammalia, Chiroptera, Miniopteridae.